UGCCAAGUGGGCAGCAGAAAGAGGAAGUUCCGCCUGUGGCGCAGUUAGAAUUCCAGAAAGAGGAAGUUCCACCUGUGGCGCAGUUAGAAAUGCAGAUACAGCAACUACAGCCCAAAUAAACCAAAUGCGGCUUGAUAAAAGAGGGAAGAAUGAACAGCCCCGCAGGCUCACUUUUACAGCAUUCAUUGCGAGAGGCCGCAGGGAUGGGCAGGUAGUAGACUGGAAAGAGUGGGGACAGAAUUCCCGAUUUUUGUCCAGGAGGAGCCGGAGGAGGUGGUCGGUCUCACCGACCAGUGCCCUAUAAGUUCAUGAAAGAUUUGAAAGAGGCAGUAAAUUAUAUGGAGCAGGCUCUUCUUAUGUCAAGCAGCUGUUGCAAUCUACUGUGGCUGUGGCCGCUUGGACCCCAGGGGAUUGGGAUGAAAUUAUGUCUGCUGUAUUGGAGAGUGCUGCUUACACCGCCUGGUCGGCGUAUAGACGCCGAGAGCUAGGACCUGGGCGGAGUUAAUUUCCCUCAGAAUGUAGAAGAUACCAUUAAUAUGCUAACUGGGUAUGGCCAGUAUGCUGGGCUGCAGGCACAGCUUUACUCCCAGACCUUGUAUACAAGGUGCCAGAUAGUGGCGCUAAAAGCAUUGGAUAGACUAGGGGAGAAAUCGCAACCUCCUUUAAACAAACUCGUGCAAAGGCCAAAAGAAAGUGCCAUGGAAUUCGCGUCCCGAGCACAAGAGGUUGUGGAAAAGAGAUAUGGAGCAGGAGAUGUUGCCCAAAAGCUGCUGAUACAGCUUUUCAAAGAAGGACUUAAACAGUCACGAGGGUUGUUGUCAAAGUUACCACCAGACCCCACAUGGGAAGAAUGCAUUGAUGUCUGCCUGGAGGAAGGUCCCUUACCUGAUGCAGGCAUGGUCCAGAAUGGAGAAGGUCGCUGGGUUCCCGUCCGCUGGGUUAGAGAGUUGGCGAAAGGAGCGGAUGCAGAGAAGGAGGCGGAAGCAAGGACGCCGCAGAUGUCAACCCAGAAGGCUGAAGAGGGAGAAUAAGAAGCGGAUCUCCCACUGUGUUUUUUCUUUAGCCUUUCUUAGUCUUGGCCUUGGGUGGGGAUUACCCGUUGGCGCCGAAGGGCGUUCGGCGAAACACCUGGUUGCACAGCUAAAUCACACUGCUAAGCCCUGGAAUAACCUUAACCAGGAGUAUACCUAUUGGGCACUAGUACGACACUUCCCCCAACCACGUCCAGUUACUUGGAAUGGGGAUCCUGUUCCCCUAGUUGUGGUUUCCAAUGCAUCACUUCUUAUGGGCGAAGGGGUGGGACGGCCAGUUAUCUCCCAUCUUCAAAAUAAGACCAUUAUUAUGAGGAGUCCCACACUACCCAUUUGCCUCAGCAAAGGUACCCAUGCCGGUUGUGCUCGGUAGAAAAUGAUACUAUCACUGAGUUACCGCAUGGACCCCACGGUUGGAUAGGGAAAGGGGAUCAUUACACUUUUAUGUAUUGCAACAUCAGCAUAGUACUAGCGGGUUUUUUCCCUCUCCACUCCCUCUUUGCACCCCUUCCCCUAACAUGUUUGCAGGCUUCCAAGUCUGUUCUACAGGGCAUCAAGUAGGUGGCGAAAACGUGAAUGGGACUCAACUCUACUUUCUGGAUGGACAACCGGGUCCUUGGUUUGCGGCCCCGGUACCCAAUGUGAGAAGCCCUCGAGGAGUUAUAGCCCAUGCACAUCUGUGGAAAUUGGCUGCUGCCUUUGGCCCCUUGAUCCACUUCACAGAUAACAGUGCACCUCUAUCUGACAACAGCACUCUUCGACUGGUGGUGGGACUUGUUAUUUUCAGCAGGGCGUUCUUGCCAUUGAUUCUUUGAUUAAGAACUUGACUGACUUUGAGCAAAUAGAAGAUUGCCUUGGUCAAUUGGACAUAUUUUGGAGCAUAUUCGCAAUGUCACCCGUCAAACAAGGGAUAAUCUCUUCCCUGAUUCCCCUUUCGAUCAAUUUUUCAACUGGUUACAUAACCUGGGAUUUUCGCAAUUCCUUCUUUGGCUCAUUUAUGGUGCAGGCUUCCUGAUCCUUAAUCUGCUUUUUGGCCCCUUGCCUUUUCUUUUGUUGGCUCCGUGUGCUGCGACGCUUUCUUGAGAACGUCAAAGCCGACCUCUCCCUCCCUAAGAAAAACCCUGUCUUUGUUUAAACAGAAAGGGGGAGAUUGUUGGGGGCUGGUAAGAGAUGUCGGAAUGGAGAGGUAAAGGUGAUUGGGGGCUGGCAGGGGACACCUGAAUGGAGAGGUGACACCCCAGGAGUUGGGACCCGCCUCUUCUGGGAUAGCUUGCGGGCUCAGCAGUGAGCUACGUGACAAUCCCAGAUGAGGUGCUGGGGAGGCUCUGCUAAUGGGUUGUUGGCACCGCCUUCGGGGUGGAUCCUUGUAGCCUUCAUGACCCGCCCUCAGAUUAUAUAACGGGCUGAGAACAAAGGAUCGGGGAAUCCUCCACAAUAAAGAGCAUACACCACACUCGCGUCCUGUCUGG
Molecule: long non-coding RNA, 2500 nt
Organism: Phascolarctos cinereus (koala)
Lineage: Eukaryota; Metazoa; Chordata; Mammalia; Diprotodontia; Phascolarctidae
Source: Ensembl